AGAACAUGUAUGGACCUAACUGUACAAAAUUGUGCUCAAAACGUAAAUGUAAGUUCAGCAAUUCCUCCUGUGAUGUCAGGGCAGGUGCUUGUGAUGACGGAUGUCAAAAUGGGUGGACUGGAUCGGACUGUACAAAAGACAUAAAUGAGUGUCUUGGAUCGAAUCUGUGUGGUACCCAUGCGCUUUGCAACAACACCGAGGGGUCAUAUAUAUGUACAUGCCAAACUGGAUAUUCUGGAGAUGGACAAAAUUGUAAAGAUGUAAACGAGUGUGUCGAACAGUAUCCAUGUGACA
Long non-coding RNA from Gigantopelta aegis, 294 nucleotides. RefSeq lists it as uncharacterized. The record is from RefSeq and is a predicted model, not a curated record. NCBI's taxonomy places the organism in Eukaryota, Metazoa, Mollusca, Gastropoda, Neomphalida, Peltospiridae. The transcript has 3 exons.